CCAGGUUUCGUGCAGGAAGUGAAAACCAAUGAGCAUGGUGAAUUCGAACUUCGAUUGCCUUUCUCAGUUAGUAGAAGGGUGAAGAAAAUCAAUGGAUGUUCAGUGAAAUUGAUUAAAAGCAGUGAACCAGAUUGUAAUGUGGUGGCCUCAAUACCAGCUUCGUCUGCACUCCGUCUGGUGUCGGGGAAGCAUGGAACUCGUGUGUUUUCAGCUGGGACUUUCAGCUUCAAGCCUCUAAAACAACCAAACCUGUGUAGAACAAAACCAAAAGAAGCAAAUGGAGAAAAGGCUGUCCUUGGCCACCCUGAAUCAUUCUUUUUCCCUCCUCCCCUGUUUCCUCCGAACCCCUUUCAGCCUCCUCCGUUGCUUCCUCCCAUACUGCCACCACCAGCUCCACUUAUUCCAAACCCAUUUCAGCCUCCUCCAGCUCCACUUAUUCCAAACCCCUUUCAGCCUCCUCCAGCUCCUCUUAUUCCAAACCCUUUUCAGCCUCCUCCAGCCCCACCGGCUCCACUUAUUCCAAACCCUUUUCAGCCUCCUCCCGCACCACCGGCUCCACUUAUUCCAAACCCUUUCCAGCCUCCUCCCGCACCUCCAGCUCCAUUUAUCCCAAACCCCUUCCAGCCUCCUUCGGCACCUCCAGCACCUCCAGCACCAUGGUUUCAUCUUCCACCGAUUCCAGGACUAACUCCACCACCAUCGCCACCACCUCCACCUCCACCAACCUUCCCGUUUCCUCUUCCCCCAUUCCAUUUCCCACCUAUACCGCCUUUCCCUGGUAUCCCCCCUGCCUCUGC
RNAcentral lists this long non-coding RNA (797 nucleotides) under Gossypium barbadense (sea-island cotton). Its description in RNAcentral is "long non-coding RNA (GBAR_LNC010135)". The record is from RNAcentral. Lineage: Eukaryota; Viridiplantae; Streptophyta; Magnoliopsida; Malvales; Malvaceae.